Molecule: ribosomal RNA, 460 nt
Filed under: uncultured bacterium
Lineage: Bacteria
Description: partial 16S ribosomal RNA
Rfam family: Bacterial small subunit ribosomal RNA
Source: RNAcentral
CCUACGGGGGGCAGCAGUGAGGAAUAUUGGUCAAUGGGCUUACGCCUGAACCAGCCAAGUCGCGUGAGGGAAGACUGCCCUAUGGGUUGUAAACCUCUUUUGUCAGGGAGCAAUUGGCGCUACGUGUAGCGUUAUCGAGAGUACCUGAAGAAAAAGCAUCGGCUAACUCCGUGGCAGCAGCCGCGGUAAUACGGAGGAUGCGAGCGUUAUCCGGAUUUAUUGGGUUUAAAGGGUGCGUAGGCGGGGUGCCAAGUCAGCGGUAAAAUCGCGGGGUUCAACCUCGCUGCGCCGUUGAAACUGGCGUUCUUGAGUGGGCGAGAAGUAUGCGGAAUGCGUGGUGUAGCGGUGAAAUGCAUAGAUAUCACGCAGAACUCCGAUUGCGAAGGCAGCAGACCGGCGGCGAUCUGACGCUGAGGCACGAAAGCGUGGGGAUCGAACAGGAUUAGAUACCCGAGUAGUC